Molecule: ribosomal RNA, 286 nt
Filed under: uncultured bacterium
Lineage: Bacteria
Description: partial 16S ribosomal RNA
Rfam family: Bacterial small subunit ribosomal RNA
Source: RNAcentral
UAUCCUACGGGACGCAGCAGUGAGGAAUAUUGGUCAAUGGGCGCGAGCCUGAACCAGCCAAGUCGCGUGAGGGAGGACGGCCCUACGGGUUGUAAACCUCUUUUGCCGGGGAGCAACGGGCGUCACGUGUGGCGCCACUGAGAGUACCCGGAGAAAAAGCAUCGGCUAACUCCGUGCCAGCAGCCGCGGUAAUACGGAGGGUGCGUGCGUUAAUCGGAAUUACUGGGCGUAAAGCGCUCGUAGGGGGCAUGUCGAGUCAAGGGUGAAAUCCCUGCGCUCAACGUGG